AACCAUGCUAGAUGUUGUGUUCAUGCUGGGGAAUGAAACGAAUCUUCCACAUCCAAAAAAGGCAGCGUUUAGCUUCAAAACCGGCGGUCCAGAUUCUUCAAUGUCUAGAGGAGCUUCCUCUGUAAAUGAUAUAACAGUAACAGUUAUUGAAGCUCGUUGAGUUUGCACUUUUUAGGCUCUUGUAGAGAUUUUGCUUUACUCUAUAAAGUAUUUGUACUCAAAUCGAGAUUUCUUUGUACGUGAAGAUUUUAAAUUCAAAUUCAAAUCCCAGAAUCCAAACGAGGCCCAAAUGUUUAAAUUUUAGAUCAAACAUGAAGACGUGUGAGUAACAAAUUGAAAUUCUCAGUUGUAAACAAAAAUCUUGGCCGUGAUAGGUAGCGUGCGAAUUCCCCUUCUUAACAAAACAAGUUUUAGUUUUUAAUUUUUUUUAUUACAAAAAUAAGCUUGGAAUUUUGACAAAAGUUAGAACUUAUAAAUUGAUAUGCACCAAUUCAUUUAUUUUGGAUUCAUAAACAUAGAAAUUUUGAAUUUUCAUGUGAAAAAAAUUUGGAAUUUGGGACUCCAAGUGUUUUGAAUUCUAUGUAAAUGAAUGUCAUUUCUAAAUUUUUAUGAGUGGGAGUUUAAAAAUAAAAAAUUCCUAUUCAUAUUCGAUCAUUCUUGUAGUUUAACCAAACAAAAAAAAAAAUUCAAAUUCUUUACAAAUUCUAAAAAAUAAAAUUCCGUAAUUUUGAAAUUCCUUAAUAAUUUUAAAUUUCUUUGUCCAGUGUAAAGCUAAAUUGAAAUUCUCAGUUUUCGAUAACUAUGCUGGUAGCACACUAAUGACUUUUUUGUUAAAUUAUUAUUGAUACUAAAUUAUUGGAGACCACAUGCUAAUGACUUAGGUUAUAAAACAUUUCUUCUUCUUUCAACGAUGUCUUCUUAUGUGGACCCAAAAAAUGAUGUCCUCAUAUAUUAUAACACUUCAGACAAUAUACUGUAAUUUUAGGCCUAAUCGGAUAAAUGGUCAUCGUGGUCAUAAGGUAUUCGGAUGAUAGCCCAUGUGGUAAAAAAAGUCGGAUUUAAACCCCUGUGGUAUAAAUCUGUUAGGAUUUAUGCCCUUAUGUUAAAUAAUGCUGACGUGGCUGCCACAUAUAUGCCACGUGGCUACCAAAUGUCUGCCACAUGGCAAAAAUAAUAAUUUUUAAUUUAAAAAAAAAAAACCUGAAUUUUUACAAAAAAAAAAAAAAAACCCAGAUCUACAAGAAGAACAAGAAGAAGAAGGAAAAGGGAGAGGGAGGAGGGUCGCGCGGGGAGAGGGCUCCGACGAGGGGGGAGUUGGUCUCCGGCGGGAAGAAGAAGAAGAAGAAGAAGGGAGGAGUCGCGCGGGGAGACCGGCGGGAAGAAGAAGAAGAAGGAAGAAGGAGAGGGAGGAGGGUCGCGCAGGGAGAGGGCUCUGGCGGGGGGGGGGGGAAUGGGCAGAGGGCGGGGGGAGCUUCUGGGUUUUUGUUUUUUUUUUUGGUUGUAAAAAUUCAGGUUUUAAAAAAAAAUUAAAAAUUAUUAUUUUUGCCACGUGGCAGACAUUUGGCAGCCACGUGACAUAUAUGUGGCAGCCACGUCAACAUUAUUUAACAGAAGAGCAUAAAUCCUAAUAGACUUAGAUCACAGGGCUUUAAAUCCUAACAGACUUAGACCACAGAGGUUUAAAUCCGAAUUUUUUUACCACAGGAGCUAUCAUCCGAAUACCUUAUGACCAGGGGAACCAUUUAUCCGAUUAGGCCGUAAUUUUAUGCUUAUCUACACUCUUAUUUUUUUAAUGAUUUUAAUAGUCACCUCGCAGCACUGAAGGCAAUUAUAUUACUUUAUUUUAAAGUAGGGGUGGUGCUGUGCAAUUUUGGGGCAGAUUUUAGUUUAUUUAUGAAAUUACCACUGAGUCUAUCUGCCCCCUGAUUUAACGUUAUUUGCAAAAUUGCCACUGGGCUUCAGAAUGGGUUUUGGGUCUUUGGGCAGAAUUUUCGGUUUUGCGAUCCACGCGUUGAUGAUCGCUGUGUAAGAUCGCCGAUUUGGUGAGGGGAUGGGACAAAAACGGAAAGCCAAACCUCCGCCACAAACGAAGUCACGAACGCCACUCUCACUCACCCUCCACCGUUGCACACGAACCCAAUCAUAAUUCUGAAAUCCAAACACGACCUAGAUGGUAAUCCUUCAGAGAAUGGCAAUGGCCACUUCUUCUUCCUUCCUCUCAGUCCCUCUCCUAAAGGCCUCUUCUUUGCUUUCCCCAGUUAAACACUGCGCUUCGCCACUGAGCUCCGAGUUCAGGGCUCUGUCCCUCUACGGCGGUAGAGAUGGAGUCUCUGUUGGAAUAUGAGUAUAAAAACAUGAUUGUGGAUUAGCUAUUAUAUUGAAUGAAUUUUGAAUGGAAAAGUCUUGAUAAAGUGUUUGUGUAAAUCCUAUUUCUUGUAGGAUUAUGAGUGGUUUUAGUGUUCCUUUGGGAAAAGGUUUUGGAUCCUUCUCGGAUUGAUCUUGUGCACUCAUUGUGCAAAAGGGUUUCUGUUUUAGAGUCCAACACUAAUUCUAAUAGGAGAAUGUGUUGGAUUAAUGCUGUAUAUAACCACAAUCACUGCUCUUGCAAAGAUACGGCUCAUAUUGUGUUGAAUACCUAUUGUUCAAAGAGCUCUCUAGUUUUGCUAAAGAGGAGAAGAUUGUCUGGUGGUGAAGCUGCUAUGGCUUCUUCGAGUUCAAGUUCUGCAGGUAUGUUUUGAUUGGUUUAAUGCUGAGAUUUAUGGUUAUGUUGUUCACAUUGUUUGUUGGUAGUAUUGGUGAUUUAUUGGCAUAUCUAUGAUCUGGCAUGUUAUUCUUACAUGUGGUAUCAGAGCCUGGACAGAUUAUUGCCAUUAAGUUCGAAAUUUUGUACAACAAUUUGGACAAGAAACCAUAAUCUUAAAACCCAGAAACGCAUAACCUGUUUUUGAGCAUAACAGUAAAAAACGACACCGUUUAAAAAAAAAAAAAAAAUUUAAAUUUAUACCGUUAUGAUCGCCGGGUUUGCGUCUUUUGCUUUGCCUUGCAUCUUUUCUUUUCAUGGUCUCUGGGUAUAUGGCGAUUCAAUGAAUGAUUCUUCUGAUUCUCUCUGAUUCUUCUCGUGUCAAUUUCAUUCAUUGAUUUCUCCAAACAGGUAUGUCUGCAAUCUUGAAACUUGAAUUUAGGUUAAAAAGCUUAUUUGAACUAGAGAACACCGUAUAUAUGCAAAUUUGUUAGCAUCUCGCCAAUUUGAAUCAAAAUUAUCUAAAUGGAUAAACUGAAGAAUUAUUUUAAUGUUUCCGCUGCUAAUUUGUUUGGGUUUAUUGAAUUUUUUGAUUUUCAAUGCAUGUGGUGUGAUAUUUGAAUAUCAUCCCUUUCGAGCAUGAUUCUUGAAUACAAUCUUCUGUGAGUUGUUUACUCUAUACAUGGUUGUCUUUAUUAAAGUUUGAGACCAUGUGUAUGACAAAAUUGACUCAUUAUGAGGAUUACAUAGUGAAAUAGAUGGAAAUCAUGAAUCCCGAAAAGAUUCAAUGUGAUGAUUUCAUUGUUAUCUUCUGCAGUUUCACUAAAAACAAUGAAUUUGGCUGCUGUACCUAUACUCACUGGUGGGAGCAAUUACAAAAAAUGGAGAAGGGAAAUGGAAUUGCUCUUGACAUUAAAUGAGUAUGAUAUAGCACUUGAUACACCACAACCUGCGCCUCUUACUGAUAAGAGUUCAAAGGCUGAGAAGGUUGAGUUCGAAAGAUGGACAAGAGCUAAUAAAGUGGCAUUAUCCAUUUUGGAGAGCGGGAUGACGGACACUGUUCGUGGAGGUAUCAAAAGGUGUGAUCUAGCAAAAGAUUAUUUCAAAGCUAUUGAGAGCAAAUUCAAGGAAUCACAAAAGGCUGAGAUUGCUCAGUAUAUGACCCUUCUCACAACUUACAAAUUUGAAGGUGGUGGUUCAGUCAGAGAUCACAUUAUGAGGAUGACCGAUGCGGCUGAGAAGCUUAAUUCAUUAGACAUGAACAUUUGUGAAAAGCAGCUAGUGUUCAUGAUUCUGCAAGCGCUUCCUUUGAAGUUCAGUCAAUUAAAAGUCUCUUACAACACUCAAGAUAAGUCAUGGACAGUGGAUGAACUGAUAUCUCAAUGUGUUCAAGAGGAAAAUCGACAGAAGCAAGACAAAGGAAAGGAAGCUGAGACCAUCAAUUUUGUGCAGACUUCUAAAAGGAGGGAUCUCAAUGCAAAUUCUGGUAAAUCUCCUCAAUUCAAACAUCCUGAUAAAUCUUUUGUGUCUGCUAAGAAUUCCCAUUCCUCUAAAUCUAAUAAUCUUAAAGUUAAAACUAAAAACAUUGAAAAGGUUAGGUGUCAUCAUUGCAAAACUAAAGGUCAUUAUAGAAAAGAUUGUGAAAUAUUCAAAGAAUGGCUUAGGGCUAAAGGUAGAGAACUAAUGUAUAUGUCUGUGAGGAAUCAAAUCUCAUUGAAAUUCCGGCAAAUUCCUGGUGGUUUGAUACUGGUGCAUCUGUGCAUAUAACCAAUUCACUGCAUGGUUUUGAAAAACAAAAACAAACAAAUGAUUAUAACGUUUUUGUUGGUGAAGGAACCAGAGUUGUAGUUGAAUCGAUAGGGAAAGUGAAACUAAAAUUGGCUUCUGAAUUUGUGUUGGAACUGUCCAAUGUUUUAUAUGUGCCUGCAAUGAGAAGAAGUUUAAUCUCUGCAUCUAAGUUAGUAGCUGAAGGUGUUAUUUUCAUAGGUGAUAAAGAAUGCAUCAAAUUUUUUUGUAGGGGAGCCUUGAUAGGAAAAGCAGUUUUGCAUGAUCAGUUAUGGAAAAUGCAGUGCACAUUGUUGGACAAUGAGUUAAGUGUUUUAAAUACGACUGCCAAAAGAAUGCAAAAUUUUGACAACUCUUAUAUGUUGUGGCAUAAAAGACUAGGACAUAUUUCGAAGGACAGGAUCAUGCAAUUAUCAAAAUUAAAUUUCAUACCUGCUUUAGAUUUUCAUAAUGCAUCUGAAUGCAUUGACUGUAUGAAGGGUAAAACCACCAACUUUAGGAAAAUGGAUGCCAAUAGAAGUAAAAAUUUGCUUGAGAUUAUACACACCGAUGUUUGUGGACCUUUUCCUAUCAAAACUAUUUGUGGAAAUUCAUACUUUGUGAGUUUUAUAGAUGAUUUCUCCAGACAUGGUUACAUAUUUCUAAUAAAAGAAAAGUCAGCAGUUCUUGAGUGUUUCAAAAUUUUUAAAUGUGAGGUAGAAAAACAACUAAACCUAGUGAUUAAGAUUGUUAGAUCAGAUAGAGGAGGGGAAUACUUUGGCAGGCACACAGAAGCAGGACAACAAAAGGGUCAUUUUGCACGGUUUCUUGAGCAGCAAGGUAUUGUGGCCCAGUAUACUACUCCGGGAACACCCCAACAGAAUGGAGUGGCUGAGAGAAGAAACCGAACCUUGAUGGGAAUGGUUAGAAGUCUCAUUUCAAGAUCUAAGCUGCCUGGUUUUCUGUGGGGAGAAGCAUUGAGGACAUCAAACUAUGUGUUGAACCGAGUGCCUACAAAAUCAGUGCCAAAAACACCUUUUGAGCUAUGGACUGGCAGAACACCAAGUUUUCAUCAUUUUCAUGUGUGGGGUUGCAAAGCAGAAGCUAGGUUUUACAACCCAAAUGAAAGGAAGCUCGAUUCUAGAACCAAUUCAUGCUACUUUGUGGGAUAUUCAGAGAAAUCGAAGGGUUUCAAGUUUUAUUGUCCUCGAGCACAGACAAGAAUUCAAGAGACUCACAAUGCAGUUUUCUUAGAAGACCAAGAUGUAUCAGACUUAGUGCAUGACACUUUUGAGUUUGAAGAAUCAGAACAACUCGUUGGCUCGGUUCCAAUGGCCUACAACCAUAUUUCAGUAUUGCCUAGAAAUCAGACAGAGGAAGAAGAUCUUGAUGAAGAGAUGACACAUGAAAUAGUUGCUGAAAUACAAAAUGAACAUGGAGAUACCUUUUCUACACGAAAUAUACCCCUAAGUGCUCCAAGUUCUCCCAUUGAGAAAGAUACAUGUCCAGUAAAUGAUCAAUUGAAUCUGAGGAAAUCAAGUAGAGCCAAGAAACCUGCAAUUUCAGCCGAUUAUGUCUAUCUCCAGGAGGCAGAAUUUGACAUAGGUGAUAUAGAUGAUCCAGCCACUUAUCAACAAGCAAUUCAAUGUUCUCAAGCUGCAUUAUGGAAGAAAGCAAUGAUGGAAGAGCUAGAUUCCAUGGCCAAGAACAAAGUAUGGACCCUUGUGAACUCCAAUUCAAAUGCUAAAACCAAUAGGUUGCAAGUGGGUCUACAAAACUAAAAGGGAUGCUGCUGCAGGGAGCAUAGAGAGAUACAAGGCUCGGUUAGUAGCCAAAGGCUUUACUCAGAGAGAAGGGAUUGAUUACAAUGACACGUUUUCACCUGUUUCUUCCAAAGAUUCUAUGAGGAUCAUCAUGGCUUUGACAUCUCAUUUUGAUCUGGAGCUACACCAGAUGGAUGUUAAAACCGCCUUUUUGAAUGGUGAUUUAGAGGAAGACAUAUACAUGGUCCAACCUCCUGGAUUUUCUGAAAGGGGGAAAGAUAAUAUGGUCUGCAAGCUAAACAAGUCAAUUUAUGGACUUAAACAAGCAUCUAGGCAGUGGUUCCUCAAAUUUGAUCAGGUAGUUACNCAAGUGUUCUGCUACACUUAAACCAUCCUUGUAUUCACAUGAUGAGCUCUUUGAUCAAGAAUGCUUUUUAGCUGGAGUUUUCUUCUCGAACAAGGACAAGCUUGCCAAAACUCGCGCAUUGGCAUUGACACAUGGUGAAACACUAUCGUCCACCCAUUGUCUAAUUGUACCAAUAGCCUUACGAUUCAUUUUCCACCGGCACGAACAUGCUCUCGGGCUGGCGGCAUCUCCUUCAAUUGGCUCAUGCAGAUCCUUGCAAUAAAGAGGCCUUCAUCCUUGGCUUUCAUGUUACCCAAUUGGAGUUGGUGAGUUUGAUCAUAGUGCCACUUCCUUCCAUCCGAGUACGAGCCAACUUGGCUCUGAUACCACUUGUAGGAAUGUCAUACUACAAGAUAGAGAAUGCACAAGGUAAAGUAGAAAAUGGACACCAAAAUUUAUGUGGUCGGCAAUUUAGCCUACGUCCAUAAGACAAGGAUCAAUCUACUAUAUGAAAAAGUGAGUACAACAAGAUAUCACCAAGCCAAAGACAAGGCUUGAUGGACAAGAAAGUAUGACACACACUUUCUAUUACUCUAAACUUCACUCACAAUGUGUAGUGGAACACUCUCACUCUCACUCUUGGAGUGGAACUCUAGCUUUGGACUUGAUCCUUUGCUACUCACACUUGGUUCUUAAUUGGUUACAUCACACCCAUAUUUAUAGGUGAGAGCUUGACAUUCUACUAGUUUCUAUUUCCUUCUUCAAACCUCUAGUAUAGAAAAUUCUAGACUAGCCACAUAAUUGUAGCUUCUAGAUCUUUCCAUUUGCAACCAAGGAAGCUAGUACUCUCUAACUUCUUCCAUCAACUUAAUAACAUGCAAGAAUUGUCUAACAUGCUCCCGCCUCCUCUCUUGCUUACUAGAAUAAUCUAGAACAUUGAUCAUAGGCUGGACCAUAUACCAACAAGGAGUUCUCUCAAUAGGUUCUGAUGGAAACCUAGUGCUGCAAGCCAAUACUAGCCAAGGCCUUAUUCCUCUGUGGUCAACAAAUGUUUGAUAUCAUCAGAGGCAACGUAAUAUUUUUGCGCAUUCUUGAUUCAGGAACCUUGGCGCCAGCUUGGCAGAGCACUGAUCACCGCGAAAUUCUUCUUCCGAAUAUGAAAGCCGUGGACAGAAGAAGUGGCAUAAACCGGUUCCUCACGUGUGGAACUGGACAAUGAUCCUGGACGGGGAAUGUUUCGUUGAGAAUGGACCGAAUGGAUCGCCUCAGUUGAUCUUGUACAAGGAUGACGCUAAGUAGUCAGGCAGUGGAACGGGAUUCAAUGGCGGCAUACCUGCCAUGCAUCGGAGCGUUGUGUUUAAGAUCAAUUUCUGAACAACAAAGAAAUUUCUGUGCAGUGGACUGUUCCGACUUUUAUUUACUCGGUGAUCACAAUGACGGGUCGGGACUCAACCAGCAUCAUGGCAGGACCAGCACACCAGUGGGUUUCGCUUUGGUCCGCACCUUGGAUGCCUGUGACAGCUAUGCAAGUGUGGUCAAUUUGGCAAUUGCAAUCCUUACACCAACAGUGGUUCAACUGCACAUGCUACCCGGAUAUGAACCAACCUCACCGCAGGAUUGGGAUUUAAGAGAUGGGACAGAUGGGUGCAAGAGGCCGCAGGGUUCGCCGUCCAUGUGCAGGAACGGCAAGGAUUUUGUGAAGAUGGAAAAUGUAAAGGUUCCAGACACGUCCUCUAUAAAAUUGGAGAAUAAUUUGAGCUUAGAAGCGUGUGAGGAGGAGUGCUUGAAGAACUGCUCGUGCUUGGCAUAUGCGAGUGCAGAUGUGAGGAAUGGAGGGACUGGAUGCAUGACAUGGUAUAGAGAUUUGAUGGAUACUAAGCAGUUCACAGAAGGCGGGCAAGAUUUGUACAUUCGCGUUGAUGCAGUAGUUUUAGGUACCUUAUUUUCCUACAGAUUGCGUCAAUUACAUGUUUCAAAUUCAUACCAUUCAUAGCACUGGUGAAUUGAUCUUUUUUUCAUUUUUUCAGCUCAGUAUAAAAACAAGUCAGGAGGAGGGUAUUUUUCCGGGAGAAGGCGACUUGCUAUUAUAUUGGUAGUGUCAAUUUCUGUCGCCUCAUUGCUCAUCCUCGCAGUUCUAUAUUGGUUCAGGAAAAGGAGAAGGAAAGGUAUGCGAAAAGGAAAAGUUUCCCCUUCUAUCGUCUUGUAAAUUUGUUUGCAGCUUUAUUUCAGCUCAAAUUUCAUUUUCUUUGUGAAAUUUUUUAUACCCUGAAAUUUCAAUGGAAUUGAAACAGGGAGAGGAGGAGAACCCAGAUUUCUGAACGAUCCCGCUGCUUCUCGUGUACGAAGCUAUGAAGAUUUGCCAACAAAAAAUGAGGUUGAUGAACACAGAGGAGACACAGAUUUACCUUUUUUCGAUUUAACCACUGUGGUUGCAGCCACAGAAAACUUCUCUUCUGCUAACAAGCUUGGACAUGGCGGCUUCGGCACGGUAUACAAGGUACUUUCCCUAGAUCAUUUUGAGUGUCUCAGCGUUGUGUGGCUUCAAAUAAAAUAUGAAAUACGCUUCCGUGUACUUUGUUUACUCUGCUGCAAAUAUACCAAUACAUAAGCUCUGUGACAUUGAGGCAGAUAAGACAGAAUUGGAUGUAAACAUUAUAUCGAUCUGAAGUUGCCAUUAAGAUUGUCGAGUCUUCACUGUGAUUUCAGGGAUGUCUAGCUGAUGGACAGGAUAUAGCUGUCAAAAGAUUAUCGAGAAAUUCAGGACAAGGCGUAGAUGAAUUCAAGAACGAAGUAAUGCUUAUAGCAAAGCUUCAGCAUAGAAAUCUUGUUAGGCUUUUGGGUUGCAGCAUAUAUAAAGAAGAGAGGAUGCUAAUCUAUGAAUACAUGCCGAAUCGCAGCUUGGACUUAUGCAUUUUCGGUAUGCAAUCUAUGAAUACAUGCUGAAAUUAAGAAAUCCUAAACUUGUAGCUAAUAGAAGUUUUUAUGUGUUGUGUUCAGAUAAAGACAGAAAGUCGUUGUUAGAUUGGAGAAAGCGGUUUCAAAUUAUCAUUGGGAUUGCUCGAGGCGUCCUAUAUCUUCAUCAAGAUUCGAGACUAAAAAUAUUCCACAGGGAUUUGAAAGCAAGCAAUGUUUUACUGGAUGGUUCAAUGAAUCCAAAAAUAUCACAUUUUGGCAUGGCAAGAAUGUUUGGGGAUGACCAAAUUGAAGCAAACACGAAUAGAGUUGUUGGCACCUAGUAAUUCUCUCCUCUCACUUGAAAUAAAACUCUGGAGUUGAUAUUUUUUUUAGUACUGAUAAUGUGUGAUUGCAGUGGUUACAGGUCACCAGAGUAUGCUAUGGAUGGGCUAUAUUCUACAAAAUCCGAUGUGUUUAGCUUCGGAGUCUUGGCACUAGAGAUCAUUAGCGGCAGAAAGAACAAUUUCCAAUUCGAAAACACCUUUCUGAAUUUGGUUGGACUUGUAAGUAGACAAAUAAUUUUUUAGACAUUGAAUCUAACUCUUGCAUAGUCCAAUGAUCUAAACAUUGUGCUCACACUUGUUUCAGAUAUGGGACUUGUGGACAGAAGGAAAAGUCUUGGACAUAAUUGAUUCAUCACUGAACCAGUCGUAUUCGACUCAUGAAGUUAUGAGAUGCAUUUAGAUUGGGCUCUUGUGCGUGCAAGAAAACGCAACGGACCGGCCAGCCAUGCUAGAUGUUGUAUUCAUGCUGGGGAAUGAAACGAAUCUUCCACAUCCAAAAAGGCAGCGUCUAGCUUCAAAACCGGCGGUCCAGAUUCUUCAACGUCUAGAGGAGCUUCCUCUGUAAAUGAUAUAACAGUAACAGUUAUUGAAGCUCGUUGAGUUUGCACUUUUUAGGCCCUUGUAGAGAUUUUGCUUUACUUCUUAAAGUAUUUGUACUCAAAUCGAGAUUUCUUUGUAUGUGAGGAUUUUAAAUUCAAAUUCAAAUCC
This 10560-nucleotide long non-coding RNA is filed under the name Malus domestica (apple). RNAcentral's name for it is "long non-coding RNA (MDOM_LNC005383)". Lineage: Eukaryota; Viridiplantae; Streptophyta; Magnoliopsida; Rosales; Rosaceae. The record is from RNAcentral.